This 2365-nucleotide small RNA is filed under the name Pan troglodytes (chimpanzee). Its description in RNAcentral is "retained intron". The record is from RNAcentral. Lineage: Eukaryota; Metazoa; Chordata; Mammalia; Primates; Hominidae.
AACAGAGUGCGGCGCCUGCAGCAGAGUGAGGCCAAGCACUCCUCCUGGCUCCUACAGCCAGGCCUCCUUGCUGGCCGCCAGGUAGGUCACCGCGCGGGUCCGGGAGCCAGGCACGGGACCCGCCAGCUUCAGCCUCCAGGGCCUGGGCGGGCCGCCAGGUGAGCGCGCCCCAGAGCUCAAAAUUCGUAGCUGGCUGCCCUGCGUCCACCCGGCGGACUACUGGCCAUGGAGCCGCGCACAGGGGACGCCGCGGACCCUAGGGGGAGCAGAGGAGGUACAGGGAUUGGGGUCGUUGGGGAAGGACAGGGCGAGUCGCCGCCACCCCCGUCCCGCCUGUCUGCUCCACACCUUUUCCUUCUGACAGGUGGUAAACAGAGCGGCUCUGGGGCCCAAGUGGCGGUGGCAGGGGGCAGGGGCCCAGCGAUGGAGGCUGGGCUGGAGGUCCCCUACCCACACCCACACACGAGGGAAAGGGCCGCGCACCAGAGCAGGGGAGGGGCUCUCAGGAGUCUCCAGGGAGACGUGCAGAUGUGCGGGGAGGGGUCUGCCCGUGGUCACUGGGGACACCUGGGCACUCAGGGUCUAUAGUGAACUGGGGGGAGGGGAGCUGGGGGCCCCUGGGGACCUGUGGAGGGGGACUCUGGAGGUAUGUGGGCCAUGGGGGAACGGGCCCUCUGAGGGAAUUCAUGGGGGUAGCAGGGGUUGCCUAGGAUACUUAGACGGGGAAUUGGGGGUUCCGGGGCUAUGGGGUCAGGCCGUGUUCUCCCAGGAUAUCUGGGGAAAUGGGGUCCCCUGAGAUAUCGCGGGCGAAGAGUUGGGCAUCCAGGGUGAUUAGGGGGCAGUCGAGGACCUCACGGGGUGUUCGGAGGUGUCCAGGACUAUUGCAGUCAAACAGCGAUCUCCAGGGACACCGUGGGAGCAAGCGGGGGUGCACCGGCUACCCGCGACGGUCGGGGAUCGCGUGAGGGGAGGGCCAGCAGUGACCUCCGAAACUAUCGAGGGAGUGGCCAGGGGUCGCCGGGUAUCCUGAGGGGCAUUUCUAGGUCUUCGAGCGUCCGGAAGCAUGGGGGUUGGCCGAGGCCGAUGGUCGGCGUUGACCUGUCCCCUCUUGCGCGCAGGCCGCGGCCCCUCCCCGCUCGCGGGCCCUAGCGCCCGGCAGCUCCUGGCGCGGUUGGACGCGCGCCCCCUGGCGGCGCGAGCUGCGGUCGACGUGGCAGCGCUGGUACGCAAGGCGGGCGCCACAUUGCGCCUGCGCCGGAAGGAGGCUGUUAGCAUGCUGGACUCUGCGGACAUAGAGGUCACAGACAGUCGCCUGCCUCAUGCCACUAUUGUGGAUCACCGGCCCCAGGUACCAUCUCAUCCUUCUAUCGGAGGCCACCUGCCUCAGGGCAAACUAUGUACACCUGUGUCCUUUAUUCCAGCACCGUUGGUUAGAGACAUGUAACGAGCCUCCCCAAGUGAUCCAGGGUAAGGCACGUAGUGCUCCGAAGCCAUCCCAGGCUUCUGGUCAUUUCUCUGUGGAGCUGGUCCGCGGUUACGCAGGCUUUGGCCUCACCUUAGGUGGGGGCCGGGAUGUAGCUGGGGACACUCCGCUGGCCGUGCGCGGGCUGCUGAAGGAUGGCCCAGCACAGCGCUGUGGUCGUUUGGAGGUCGGGGACCUCGUGCUCCACAUCAACGGAGAGUCAACGCAGGGCCUCACCCAUGCCCAGGCCGUGGAGCGGAUCCGAGCUGGAGGCCCCCAGCUCCACCUAGUUAUUCGUCGGCCUCUGGAGACCCACCCUGGCAAGCCUCGAGGGGUGGGAGAGCCCCGAAAAGGAGUUGAUCGCAGCCCAGAUCCUGGAGGGCCGGAGGUAACGGGGUCUCGCAGCAGCAGCACUUCCCUAGUUCAGCACCCUCCAUCCCGGACGACGCUCAAGAAGACCCGGGGCAGCCCGGAGCCUAGUCCAGAGGCGGCCGCCGAUGGCCCCACGGUUUCUCCUCCUGAGCGCCGCGCUGAGGAUCCCAACGACCAGAUCCCGGGUUCCCCGGGGCCCUGGCUGGUGCCCAGCGAGGAACGGCUCUCGCGGGCCCUAGGGGUCCGGGGGGCAGCGCAGCUCGCUCAGGAGAUGGCAGCCGGAAGGCGGAGACACUGAGCCUACCUCUGACAGCGCGGGGCUCACUAGUUACCGCCCAACCUGGAUCCGGCGCGUGUGGCCGCUGGGCACUUGGCACCUCCCCAAGAGCUUCCACUUGGUUUGGUCCCCCCACCCGCUGCUCAGUGGCUCUGCCCACACUCCCCUCGCAGCGUCAGUGGUACGACCCUUCCAGCCGGCUAGCCUGCGCUUCUGGUUCUGGGAGGGGGAGGUAAUAAAAUGGUUCGAUCCGG